CCCCAGUGCUGGAGGUUCGGCUGACCCCUGUGGCUUGUGCGGUAGCAGCCGCGGAUGUAGAUGGGUGAGUUAUUUUCCCCAUUAAUGACCUUGGCGUUGACCUAUCGUGUUUGCCGCUCGGCGGGGGAGGUCGAGGUGAAGGCCCCCUGUUGCAUGCUGAGAUUAAGCAACAGCAGCAGCAGGAGCUUCUUUAUUCUGAUGGGGGCGCACGCCCGGGACUUGCCAAGACAGCACUCGUGGCCCUGGAGGGGUUUUGGAAGUACUGUGACUCCGAAGGGGUGGUGAGUGUACUUGUCGGUAAGUACCUUGAGCAGACAUGUUAGUACCCGAAAGAUGGUGAACUAUGCCUGGCCAGGAUGAAGCCAGAGGAAACUCUGGUGGAGGUCCGCAGCGAUUCUGACGUGCAAAUCGAUCGUCGGAGCUGGGUAUAGGGGCGAAAGACUAAUCGAACCAUCUAGUAGCUGGUUCCCUCCGAAGUUUCCCUCAGGAUAGCUGGUACUCUGGGACAGGAGUUUCAUCUGGUAAAGCGAAUGAUUAGAGGUGUUGGGGACGAAACGUCCUCAACCUAUUCUCAAACUUUAAAUGGGUGAGAUGCCGAGCUUGCUUUGACUUUAGAAAUUAGAUUUUCUAAUGAAGCUGAGGCGAUUAAUCUGAGUAUCUAGUGGGCCAAUUUUGGUAAGCAGAACUGGCGAUGUGGGAUGAACCAAACGUCGAGUUAAGGGGCCUAAAUGAAUGCUCAUAUAGAUACCAUCAAAAGGUGUUGGUUGCUGAUGACAGCAGGAAGGUGGCCAUGGAAGUCGGAAUCCUCUUAGGAGUGUGUAAAAACUCACUUGCCGAAGCAACUAGCCCUUAAAAUGGCAUGGCGCUCAAGCAUUCUCCCGAUACUUGACCGCUGGGGCACUACGGGCUGCACUCAGGGUGCGGUCUCGAAGCCCCAGUGAGUAGGGGGGUCGCAGGGGUGAGCGUAGAAGGGAUCCGGCGUGGGCCGGCCUGGAGCCAC
This 1000-nucleotide ribosomal RNA is filed under the name Eiconaxius indicus. RNAcentral's name for it is "eukaryotic LSU rRNA". The stretch from base 102 to 1000 matches the Rfam family "Eukaryotic large subunit ribosomal RNA", at positions 675 to 1436 of the family's 3401-position model. The record is from RNAcentral. Lineage: Eukaryota; Metazoa; Arthropoda; Malacostraca; Decapoda; Axiidae.